RNAcentral lists this non-coding RNA (21 nucleotides) under Caenorhabditis elegans. The record is from RNAcentral. Lineage: Eukaryota; Metazoa; Nematoda; Chromadorea; Rhabditida; Rhabditidae.
UUGUGCAUUUUCAUUUUUAUA